AUGUCGCGCCCACCGUGGCCGAGGGAUCACUACGACGACGAAGAUCUCUGCCUCCUGGAAUUGGACGGUAGGCUAGCCGUGACGGCCCCUGAACUCCAUGGAGAUUCCGUGGAGCUCUGGGUGCUCGACAGCUCGAGGACUAUGACGACGACCAGAGCUGGUCACACCGCUUCCGGAUCGUCCUGCCGCCGCGGUUCUGUCCAUAUUGGUGGACGGGCACCGGCGUCCCCAAUGUCGUUUUCGUGGCAAGCUACACACAUAAUGUCAAGGCGCUGUACCAUCUUACCGAGAAGAGGAUCGUCAUGCAGAUGA
This 312-nucleotide ribosomal RNA is filed under the name Triticum aestivum (bread wheat). RNAcentral describes it as "partial small subunit ribosomal RNA". Lineage: Eukaryota; Viridiplantae; Streptophyta; Magnoliopsida; Poales; Poaceae. The record is from RNAcentral.